CCUACGGGAGGCAGCAGUGGGGAAUAUUGGGCAAUGGGCGCAAGCCUGACCCAGCAACGCCGCGUGAAGGAAGAAGGCUUUCGGGUUGUAAACUUCUUUUCUGAGGGACGAAGAAAGUGACGGUACCUCAGGAAUAAGCCACGGCUAACUACGUGCCAGCAGCCGCGGUAAUACGUAGGUGGCAAGCGGUAGCCGGAUUUAUUUGGUGUAAAGGGCGUGUAGGCGGGAAAGCAAGUCAGAUGUGAAAACGCAGGGCUCAACCCUGAGACUGCAUUUGAAACUGUUUUUCUUGAGUGCUGGAGAGGCAAUCGGAAUUCCGUGGGUAGCGGUGAAAUGCGUAGAUAUACGGAGGAACACCAGUGGCGAAGGCGGAUUGCUGGACAGUAACUGACGCUGAGGCGCGAAAGCGUGGGGAGCAAACAGGAUUAGAUACCCUUGUAGUC
Molecule: ribosomal RNA, 443 nt
Filed under: uncultured bacterium
Lineage: Bacteria
Description: partial 16S ribosomal RNA
Rfam family: Bacterial small subunit ribosomal RNA
Source: RNAcentral